GCGGGAGUAGCUCAAUGGCAGAGCGCUUGCCUUCCAAGCAAGAUACGCGAGUUCGAUUCCCGUCUCCCGCUCCA
Molecule: transfer RNA, 74 nt
Filed under: Candidatus Portnoybacteria bacterium CG23_combo_of_CG06-09_8_20_14_all_37_13
Lineage: Bacteria; Candidatus Portnoyibacteriota
Description: tRNA-Gly
Rfam family: tRNA
About the family: Transfer RNA (tRNA) molecules are approximately 80 nucleotides in length. Their secondary structure includes four short double-helical elements and three loops (D, anti-codon, and T loops).
Source: RNAcentral